This 207-nucleotide long non-coding RNA is filed under the name Sorghum bicolor (sorghum). RNAcentral describes it as "long non-coding RNA (SBIC_LNC012369)". Lineage: Eukaryota; Viridiplantae; Streptophyta; Magnoliopsida; Poales; Poaceae. The record is from RNAcentral.
UGGCGUAAAAAUAAAAUAAAUAUAUUCCUGUCCUAUAGAAAUGAAAAUAUAAAAAUAAAUUUAUGAUCCUACCAAAGAGAGUAAUAUUUAUUAGAGGAAGCUCAACAUGAUAAAGGCGAAGAGAUUUUAUGCUAACACUUAACCAGUUCCACAAAGCUUUGUUGUCUAUUUGAGCUCCACAGAAUUCAAGGAUCAAAGAAGACUAGC